AGUGAACGCUGGCGGUAGGCCCAACACAUGCAAGUCGAACGGCAGCACAGUAAGAGCUUGCUCUUACGGGUGGCGAGUGGCGGACGGGUGAGGAAUACAUCGGAAUCUACUUUUUCGUGGGGGAUAACGUAGGGAAACUUACGCUAAUACCGCAUACGACCUACGGGUGAAAGCAGGGGAUCUUCGGACCUUGCGCGAUUGAAUGAGCCGAUGUCGGAUUAGCUAGUUGGCGGGGUAAAGGCCCACCAAGGCGACGAUCCGUAGCUGGUCUGAGAGGAUGAUCAGCCACACUGGAACUGAGACACGGUCCAGACUCCUACGGGAGGCAGCAGUGGGGAAUAUUGGACAAUGGGCGCAAGCCUGAUCCAGCUAUACCGCGUGGGUGAAGAAGGCCUUCGGGUUGUAAAGCCCUUUUGUUGGGAAAGAAAAGCAGCAGGUUAAUACCCCGCUGUUCUGACGGUACCCAAAGAAUAAGCACCGGCUAACUUCGUG
Molecule: ribosomal RNA, 492 nt
Filed under: uncultured bacterium
Lineage: Bacteria
Description: partial 16S ribosomal RNA
Rfam family: Bacterial small subunit ribosomal RNA
Source: RNAcentral